This 490-nucleotide ribosomal RNA is filed under the name uncultured bacterium. Its description in RNAcentral is "partial 16S ribosomal RNA". It matches the Rfam family "Bacterial small subunit ribosomal RNA", at positions 28 to 507 of the family's 1533-position model. The record is from RNAcentral.
GAUGAACGCUAGCGGCAGGCCUAAUACAUGCAAGUCGAACGGGAUCCAGAUCAAAGCUUGCUUUGGUUUGGUGAGAGUGGCGCACGGGUGCGUAACGCGUGAGCAACCUACCCUUGUCAGGGGGAUAGCCCGGCGAAAGUCGGAUUAAUACCGCAUGACAUCAUUGAGAGGCAUCUUUCGAUGAUCAAAGAUUUAUCGGACAAGGAUGGGCUCGCGUGACAUUAGCUAGUUGGUAAGGUAACGGCUUACCAAGGCUACGAUGUCUAGGGGCUCUGAGAGGAGAAUCCCCCACACUGGUACUGAGACCCGGACCAGACUCCUACGGGAGGCAGCAGUAAGGAAUAUUGGUCAAUGGACGGAAGUCUGAACCAGCCAUGCCGCGUGCAGGAAGACGGCCCUAUGGGUUGUAAACUGCUUUUAUACGGGAACAAACGUCGGUACGGGUACCGGUCUGAGUGUACCGUAAGAAUAAGGAUCGGCUAACUCCGUG